Molecule: ribosomal RNA, 489 nt
Filed under: uncultured bacterium
Lineage: Bacteria
Description: bacterial SSU rRNA
Rfam family: Bacterial small subunit ribosomal RNA
Source: RNAcentral
GAUGAACGCUAGCGGCAGGCUUAAUACAUGCAAGUCGUGGGGCAGCAUGAGUAGCAAUACUUGAUGGCGACCGGCAAACGGGUGAGGAACACGUACACAACCUUCCUUCAAGCGGGGAAUAGCCCAGAGAAAUUUGGAUUAAUACCCCAUAAUAUAUUUGAUAAGGCAUCUUAUUAAUAUUAAAGCUUCGGCACUUGAUGAUGGGUGUGCGGCUGAUUAGAUAGUUGGCGGGGUAACGGCCCACCAAGUCUACGAUCAGUAGCUGAUGUGAGAGCAUGAUCAGCCACACGGGCACUGAGACACGGGCCCGACUCCUACGGGAGGCAGCAGUAAGGAAUAUUGGACAAUGGACGAAAGUCUGAUCCAGCCAUGCCGCGUGAAGGAUUAAGGUCCUCUGGAUUGUAAACUUCUUUUAUAUGGGACGAAAAAAGGGCAUUCUUGUUCACUUGACGGUACCAUAUGAAUAAGCACCGGCUAACUCCGUGCCAG